UAACUUACCUGGCACAUUUUGUUUCUUGUGUCUUCCUCAGAAUGCCCUGCUGAUAUCAGAGUUUAUUUCUUUAUUUCUUUUUUCAUUUAUUUGAACCUCUGCACAUUGCAUUAGUUGAGAACUGCAAAGACAAAGAUAGAAAUAUGCCUGAAUGAAACAGCGGUCUGUGAGAGAUGCCCUUUGCUGUCUUGGCCUCAAGAUGACAACUCUGAAAGAGGAGAAAGCGUGACAGUGGGAGGAGCCUGCUAGAGGACACUGUGAUGGCUACAAUACAAAG
This 277-nucleotide long non-coding RNA is filed under the name Phascolarctos cinereus (koala). Its description in RNAcentral is "lncRNA (ENSPCIG00000033597.1)". The record is from RNAcentral. Lineage: Eukaryota; Metazoa; Chordata; Mammalia; Diprotodontia; Phascolarctidae.